GAUGAACGCUGGCGGCGUGCUUAACACAUGCAAGUCGAACGGGAUUUAGUAGACAGAAGUCUCGGCUAAAGAUUACUAAGGAGAGUGGCGAACGGGUGAGUAACGCGUGAGCAUCCUGCGUAUGACAGUGGGAUAGCCUCGGGAAACCGGGAUUAAUACCGUAUAAAAUCGUAGAAACACAUGUUUUAACGGUCAAAGGUUUAUGGGUCAUAGCUGGGCUCGCGUCUGAUUGGCUAGUUGGUGAGAUAACAGCCCACCAAGGCGACGAUCAGUAGCCUGUCUGAGAGGAAGGGCGGACACAUUGAAACUAAGCCACAGUCCAAACUCCUACGGAAGGCAGCAGAGGCUGAUAUAGCACAAUGGGGGAAGCCAAGAUGCAGCGACGCCGCGUGAACGAAGAAGUUAUUCAAAACGUAAAGUUCUGUCCUAUGGGAAGAUAAUGACAGUACCAAAGAAGAAAGCUCCGGCUAAAUACGUG
Molecule: ribosomal RNA, 478 nt
Filed under: uncultured bacterium
Lineage: Bacteria
Description: partial 16S ribosomal RNA
Rfam family: Bacterial small subunit ribosomal RNA
Source: RNAcentral